RNAcentral lists this ribosomal RNA (253 nucleotides) under uncultured bacterium. RNAcentral's name for it is "partial 16S ribosomal RNA". It matches the Rfam family "Bacterial small subunit ribosomal RNA", at positions 524 to 776 of the family's 1533-position model. The record is from RNAcentral.
UACGGAGGGUGCAAGCGUUAUCCGGAUUCACUGGGUUUAAAGGGAGCGUAGGUGGGUUGGUAAGUCAGUGGUGAAAUCCCCGAGCUUAACUUGGGAACUGCCAUUGAUACUAUCAGUCUUGAAUACUGUGGAGGUUAGCGGAAUAUGUCAUGUAGCGGUGAAAUGCUUAGAUAUGACAUAGAACACCAAUUGCGAAGGCAGCUCACUACGCGAAUAUUGACACUGAGGCACGAAAGCGUGGGGAUCAAACAGG